Long non-coding RNA from Sander lucioperca (pikeperch), 1691 nucleotides. RefSeq lists it as uncharacterized. NCBI's taxonomy places the organism in Eukaryota, Metazoa, Chordata, Actinopteri, Perciformes, Percidae. The record is from RefSeq and is a predicted model, not a curated record. The transcript is spliced from 2 exons.
UGAACGGAAAACGUAAAGUGGCCAAAGCUUUAGAGGACGAAGACGGGAGUGGUUUCUCUUCAGGAGACGAUGAAACAAAGUGAUCGGUUAGUGUUUGAAAGGCAGCGAUGGAAAUGUAACAAAGAUCUAAAUCAACGCCGACGCUUCCUGACAGUUCCUGGGAAGUUGUAGUUUAACUUCUAGACUUCCUGACAGUUAACUGGGAAGUUGUAGUUUAACUUCUAAACUUCCUGACAGAUGUCUUGUUUUGUCCACAACUCAAAGAUAUUCCGUUUCCUGUCCCAGAGGAGAGAAGAGACUAGAACAUAUUCACAUUUAACAAGCUGACAUCACCCAAGUUUACCUGUUUUAGCAUCAAGAAAAUGACUCAAACUGAUUCACGGAUUAUCAGAAUAGUUAGGGAUACAUUUGUUGACGACUGAUCGAUGAAUCAGGAUGGUUUGGUUCCUGUGGUGGAAAGAAGGCCUGUGAUUGGUGUCUUAACACUAAGCCCCGCCCCUCAGGCUGCAUCUCCAACCGCUGCGUUUUGGUUUAAAAACUGAAUAUCUUCUGCUACGUUUCCGCCUGGCGUCCACGCUACUUAAACGUUAACGUUUGAAGACACAACUCACAAUAUUCUUCAACAAAACACAUGAAUACAUGAAGUAAAAUAUAAAUGAAAACAGUCAUAUAUCCAAAAACAAUUCCAUCUCGAUGUAUAUUGUUAAUAACAUUCAGUUACACAACACAAAAUAAAAAUGUUUUUAAAAAAUCUGGUAAAAUAUGAGCAACUUAAUCAGUGAACAGAAUGAGAAUGUUUGUUUUUGUGCUUUUUUUUAAUUUUCAACCACGGAUCGUUUUUGUCUCAAAACGGCCCAAGUCUGAAGUCUGAUUUUUAUGUUUGACUCUUUUCGUUUUGAGGUUUUUCUGACUAAGUCUCGUGUGUGGACGGAGAUCGUUUUUGUCUACAAACGUUUCCUAAAAACCAGAACAUAGCGGUGAGGAUGUAGCCUCAAACUCCUGCAGAGGUGCUGUUUUAAUUUGUUUUUUUAUAAACACACACACACACGCAAAGAAACACACACAGACACACUCCUCCACGGAGAGACACACAAACACAUACAUACACACACACAGGAUCAUGUACUACCAGUGUUUAAGUUGUGUAUGUGUGUGUUUCGGGGAUUUGGGGAAAACGGACCUAUGAAAAUAUGAAGAAGAGGAGGAGGAGAAUGGAAAGCGAUCCGUGUUUGGAGCCGUGCAGAGACACUGAGUGAUCCGAGACGGAGACGUUGACUUGUUUUAGUUUGAAUUUAAGACUGAGAGAGAAACACAAACUGAUCCCAGCGCUCCUCCUGGCUUUACUUGAUCACCCAACAUGUUGGAGACGCCGUGUCCGGGUCACUUUGGGUCCAUGUCCGGGUCACGUUGGGUCCAUGUCCGGAUCACGUUGGAUCUGUGUGGCGUGCGUGUUUGUUGGGAGCCGCCGGCGGCACUUUGUGCCCGCCGUUCCCUGUGAACGUAACGGUAACAGCGGUCCAGAUGUGUGGCUGCAUCGGACCGUGGAGUUUGUACAGCUGGAUUCUUUGCUUUGACUUUUAGACGUGAUGUAAUUAAAGAGCUUUGAGAGUUUUUCUGUUGAAUGAAGAUUCUUAUUACGAAGUUAAAGUGAAGAUUCCUGAACGGUUUGGUUUUAAACUAUUUAAAUCAGA